Molecule: long non-coding RNA, 7398 nt
Filed under: Cucumis sativus (cucumber)
Lineage: Eukaryota; Viridiplantae; Streptophyta; Magnoliopsida; Cucurbitales; Cucurbitaceae
Description: long non-coding RNA (CSAT_LNC002663)
Source: RNAcentral
UCUCCACUACAUGGCCAGGUUUUAAAGUGAAGAAUGGAGUCAUAUAAGUCUUUGUUCUUAUGACUUGCUGAUCGUUCUUCUUGUUUAUUACAACCCCUUCCAAAUAUGGUAUCAUAAUUCCUAUGGAAGAGAGUAGUAGCAACCACCAAAAACAAUGGUGAUGCUUCAACAUUUUGCUAUUUGUUUUUGAUUAUGUGAAAAAGAAUUGAAUCGUAAUACGGUUUAAAUAACCAAAGAAGAAAAAGGGACAAAUAUUUAGUGAUGUGACAGAUUUUGAAUGAGAUUAUUUGAAUUUGCUAUAAAUGGAAUGAUGAUAAUGACAAUUGUGGGGGUAGGAAAUAAAGGAAGUGGGUGUGGAAAAGAUAGAAUUUUUUCUUUAAAAAAAUAAGAAUAUGAUUAUUCGAUACAAAUUUUGAAUUGAAUGACAAAAACAUUUAGAAAAAACUGGCUCAUGGCACGUAAUUUUUUUGUAUAUGACACAAAAUUAAACGGUAAUCAUAGGGCUAUCGAAAGACCAUCCGACAGUAAUUAUCGUGUUGUCGACUUUUAAAUUUGUUACUUUGUAAUUUAGAAGAUGUAGUGACAUUGACCAUAUCAUCAUUUUUUUUUUCUAUUUGCGCUAGAAACCCUAUUUUUUAUUUUAAUUCUAAAAAUGGAAACCCUCUAUCUACUUUUAUAAUCUAAACUGUCACUUAAUUCUUUUUAAAUUAAUUAAGGCACAUAAAAAGAAAUAGACAUUUUCAACAAUAGUAGAGUAAAUUAAAAUAUUUACUAAAAUUUUGGAUUCUAUCGAUUAUAUAGAAAUUGAUAACUUCUAUAACGGUAGAGAUAUCAAUGUUUAUUAUUUAUAGAAUCUUAAAUUUUACGAGUUAUUAUUUUUUUUAUAAUUUUUGAUAAUUUUGAAAUCUAGAGAUUACGUUUGAAAUGAUGUAGCUAUUAAAAAGGUUACUUUUCUAUUAGAAUAUAGUAAAACAUCACUAUCCAAUCGUGAUAGACAAAAUUGAUGAACUCGGUUGGAUGCUUCGUGUCCCAAAAUUGAACUUCAUAGACGAAAAAGAUGAAUAUUUAAUUAAAAAAGAAAAUUAAGAAACAAAUAACAUUUUAAAAAAACAAAACACAAAAUGAAUAAAAGAAGAUAAAUUAAAACUCAUACCUCAUAUAAGAUAGAUGAACGAAUGUUGAUUUUGAGAUGAAAUUCUAUACUAUAAUUAAAAUAGUGGAGACAAAGCAGGGGUGGACAAGUGUGUGCAAGGGGAGGCCUUCGAAUUGGUGAAGAUAAGGAGCAAUUUUGUUGAGAGUGACGGGGAGGGCCAUGGAGACUCAUUGUCAUGGGGUGGAGAGUGAUAGAUUUUUUUUUGCUUUGGGGGCCAUUGAACUUGUGGUCAUGGAGAGGAGAGUGAUAGAUUUCUUUUAGUUUGAGGAUGAGAUUCAACCCUUUUUUGGUCACCUAUAAUGAUAAUUCGAGUAAAAGUAUAUUUUUGGUUUCGAUUAAACACUCUAGUCCUUCGAGUUUGUAGAAUAGUUCUAAAUGGUCUUUCAGUUCAUUUUUGUUAGUCGUUCUCUAACACAAAAUUGUGUUUACGGAAUUUAAUUUUAUUAGGUGGUUUUUUAUUUUUCUAUUUCAUUUUUUUUGUUGGGUAUGUUUUUCCUUUCACUCUCCCUUUUUCCUACCUUUUAUCUCUUUUCCAUUUCUCUCGUAGUCUCCCUUUCUCCUUUCUCGCAACUCACUUUGAACUGUCCCGAGGACGUGACAUCUCCAUCAAUAAGAAUUUUGUUCAAGCACUCAUUUACGAGGUGGGAAAUAGAUUUAAAUAUGGACAAAGACAUUCCUUUUAGCUUCUCCAUCCUUACUUUUGGUCUCCCUGGUCUUUGGAAAAAACGUUAAGAAAUUGUAUGAAAAGACGGAGUGGACCAAUUUUAAGCUUUCUUUACAUUUUAGAUAGGGAAAUUGCAAUUGAUGACUAUUUUAGCAAUAAUAAUUAAGGAUAUAGCAACAUUUUAAAAAAAUUGCAAAUAUAGCAAAACUAUCACUGAUAGACUUGUAUCACUGAUAGACUUCAUAUGAUAUAUUAGUGAUUGACCAAUAUUUGCAACAUGGUCUAUCAGUGAUAGACUUAUAUCAUUGAUAGAAUUUGACAAAUUUUGCUAUAUUUGCAAAAUUUUUAAAAUUGUGUUAUAUACUUAAUUAAUUUGAAUUUAAUUGCUAAAUUUGCAACUAUCUCGUUAAGAUUUUUUUAUAAAAAGACGCAGGUGAGGUGAAUUUUCGGAAAGUUUUUCACUAUGGAACUUUUCUUGAUGUUUAAAAAACGUUAAGAGCUAUGUACUUUUACUUGACGUUUUUAAAAUGUCAAGUAAUAUCCCUUCAAAUGAUUGUUUACUUAUUAUACGAUCUGCUAACUUUCCAUACAAUAAUUUAAUUUCAUACUCUACAAAAUACUCGUAAACUUACUUUUAUUAAAUAAAUAUUCAAUCUCCAACCUGAUAUCCAACCUAACAAAAAAAAAAAAACCAAAAUUUUCAACUCAACUCAUAUUUUUAAACUAACACAACCUAACUUAUAUAAUAUGAGAUGGGAAGGUUGUCGGGUUAUUCGAGUUGGACCUAAACUCGUACUUGCAACUCUUUUGUUCACCCUGUCUCCAUCUCUCUCGACUUCUCUUUCAAUCUUCGUCUUCGACUCUCUCGCCGAAUUGCAGGCGCAAGAAUAAACCCUUCUCCGAAUUGGGUUUGUAUAGCCCAUGAGGGAAGGGUUUCACGUUUGUUUCUCACCCUUUGCUUUGUUCCUCAUGACGAGGUUUUGUUUUACAACAUUCCUCAUAUGAAAAUUCCAUUCACCACUGGCUCAUGGCUUCUUCUUCAAUCUUCUUCUCCUCGUUCUGUUCUGUUCUUAUUCUUCUCCUUUGUGGCUUUCAUUCUCCAGGGUUUCAACCGAUUUAGUUAGUAAUAUUAUCCUUUUUAAUUAUAUUUUUCUGUUUUGAUUAUGAUGAUCAUUUUGACCUCAAAUAUUUUUGUAGGGUUUUUAAUUGUAGCUUUUGGUGAAGUAGGAUUGAAGUUUUUAACCAUGAUGACAAUGGCCAUUGAAGAUGAAGAUUCUAUGGCUCUUUUACCAUUUGGAGGAUCAGGCUUUAGUGUUGGAAGCUUCAUGAUCCGACUUCCUCAAUGCAGUGGCCCUCAUCGGCCAAGUAACUCUUUCCAACUUCAUCUUAGAUUAUAACAUUUGAUACUAAAAUGUCAAUAUGGGCGUUUCUCUAUUAGGGAAUAGUAACGUUUUAUGCAUAUCUCCUGGCAUCAAGAUCAGUGUUUCUUCAUUAACUAAAUUAUAAGAACUACAGCUACAAUACAAGGACAAAAAAUAUUACUAAUUCUUAGGUUACAAAUAUAUUUAAUAUUUUGCAAUAUACUAUGUAUAUAUGUAUAUAGAUUCAUUUGUUUCAAUUUUCUAAUAUAUAUGUAAAAGACUUAUCAAAUAUUUAUAUUAUUUGACACAAACAUCAAAGUUUUGAUUUGUUACAUUUGUUACCGUUUGUAUGCAAUGCAUACAAUUUGAAAUAGUUUGUAUCCAAGAAUUUGUUAUAGCCUAUAUAAUUAAUUCUUUUCAUCCAUGGCGAUGAAAAAAACAAAUGUGAAUAAUAAACUCACAGUCAAUCCAAAUGUGAAUGUCAACAAAAAGAGUAUUUCUCGAUGGUAUAAAAAAAUGACUUUUAAUUAGUAUGAACAAAUGGUAUGCAUAGUUUAUUAAUCCUCUAAUCUCUAAUAACCUCAAACACAUGCAUGAAACUCAAAAUCAUGUCUAUAUUAUAUAUUAACACAUUGAUAGAUAGAUAUAUACUUAGAUGAAUUAACAAAUUACUAACUGUAGAGAUUCUGAAGAAAGAGGAAGUAGAAGUAGCAGAAGAAGAAAGAAAAAGAAGGAGGAGGAUGCAAAGAUAGAAAGAGCUUUGAAUUGAUUGGCAAUGGAGGAUUUGGCUUCAAUCUAUAUUAUAUUAUAUUAUUAUAUAUCAUUUAUGGCUUAGAUGGAAAACCAUUUAACAAAAACUUAGCCUUUUUAAAAGUUCCAAAAUAAUAAUUGUUAAUGCUAAAAAUAAUGUCAUAAUAGAAACAUUAAACAUCAAGAUAAUUACAUUAUAAUUGAAAAAAAAGUAAGACAUAAAUAAUCAAAUUGUUGACUUUUAGUGUAAAAAGUUAAGGAGAAGAUAUAUAUUUCUUUUGGUAAAGGAUCCAUAAGGAUUCACCUAAUUCAUAUACUAAAAGGAUUCAUUAUUAUUAAUGGAUGAUAUAUAUAUAUAUUGCACAAGUUGCACCAAACCAAAUAGAUUCAGUUUUGUUCGAUAUUUGAAUAAGUUUUACCAUAAAAUGAGACUAUCUUCAGCUUAAUUUUAUUUCUGAUUUAUUCAAAUUAAAUUUUUAAGAAACAAAACUAAGGAACGUGAGUAUGUCAAAAACUCCUAUUGUUUAUACCUCAUCUGAUCCAUUCACCCUGUAGUUAGUAUCUGUAGGUUUUGUUAUCGUUUGGGGUCAGUACCCUUUUGUGGUUAAAAUGUAAAAAUUAUAUAUUAAAUGAAUAUAGAGAGAAGUCGAGUACUAUAAGAACUACUGAUGAUAUCCAAAGUUUCUCUACGAAAUUUUAUUUUAUUAGUUUUCUUUAGGCUAUUUGUUAAAUUACUUUUGAAUUAUUUUCUUUGAAAGGUUGGUGGUAUUUCUACAACAACGUAACUCUCUUUUCUAUGUGUCUUAACUUAAUGCUAAAUACAUUUUUACUAUGAGAAGAUAUUAAACAUAUUGUACAAUCUUAUAUUAUAACAUUAUACAAACACACAAACUUUUAUGCCAUAGUAUCAUUCAAGUUCAGUACUCUUAGACUUAUAACAAAACCAAACCAUAGGUCUAAAUUAGUAGAUGACAGAGUUCAUUAUCGUCAUCUUCUUCAUAGACCCACCAAUUGUAAUAUAAUAAUGUAAAGAUUUUACAUGAUGAUCUUCUUCUUACGAUCAUCAGCAAGUUGUUUGAGUGGUUCCAUUUGAAUGAUUGAGUUUGGUAACUUUUGUGCAACCAUAAUAUGAAAGAAACCCAUAACUCCAAUGUGAGUUUGAGAAGGAUGAUAUUUGGAUAUCAGAGUUAACAUUUCUUUAUUGUUGAUUUUGACAGAGCCUGGCUUUGGAUAACAAGUUGACAUCUCAACCACAUACCCCUUUUCAUUCCCUAUUUCACUUCCAUUUUCCAUAUAUGGGAGAUGAAGAACAUAGAUCUCUUCCAUCCUAAUAAAUGCAUAAAUACAUAUUAUUCACAAAUUUAAUAAAACUUGGUUAAAUUAUAAGUUUGGUUUCUUUACUUCUAGACUUUUUUUUUUUUUUUUUUUUUUGCCUAUAAACUGAAUUUUCAAAAAGCAUCUAUAAUUAAACAAAUUUCUAUGACAACAGUGCAGUAAACCUUUCGUUUUUGGUUUUUGGUUUUUGAAAAUUAAGCUUAUUUUCUCUCCAAUAGUUAGUAUGUUUUUUAAAUACAUAUCUAAAAGUUAUUUCAGAAAUAUAAAAUUAAAAGUUCAACUAAGUAUAUUUUUUACCCAUCAAAGUUAAAAAAAUGUGUAAUUUUAAUUUUCUAAGAAAUGAAGAGAACAUUUUUUAAGAUAAAUGAGAAAAAAAUACCUGUCCAUAAAGCACUGAACCAAGACCACCAACAUGGAGAUGAGCCAUUCCAUAUAUGAUAUAGCCACUACUUGGAGACAAUAGCCUCACCAUUUUUGUAGCAUUACAUUCAUCACCAACCUUGUUUGUGGAGCAAGUCCCUCUUACAUUAUACUCCACCUGUACACAAACCAUCAAAUGAUAUACAUGUAUAUAUAUAGCAAAUUAUGGAAGUAGUUUGACUUACAAGACAAUUAUGUUGUUGUGGAGCUCCUGUUGAGUCCAUCAAUGGCUUCCAAGUAUCUGUGAUAUCAAAAAUGUAAACCUUAAGAGGAAUAACAAGAUCAUCAUCCCAAUCCACCCACUUGGCUGUAUAUCUAGCAUACAAGUUCCUUUGUUGAUCAUCUCCUAAUUCAUUAUCAUACCCUUUUUUCACUUUACAUUGGGUCUGAUCAUAACAACAUCUUAAACCUCCAACAUAAUCAUCUUCCAAAGCCAUUCCCAACCCAUCUUUUGUAACAUUAUACAAAUGACGUUUGCAUUCAAUACAUCCAAUUCUAUCUUCAACACCUCUUGUAUCAAUGGCAUGAAUAUUAAGAACCCAUUUCUCUUCAUACCCUAAAGGGACUUCCUUUUCAUUACCAACUUCUAUUCCAUAUGGGUGUGGAAGAAAUGAGGAUGUUUUUCUUGAAUCUGCCCCUGUCCCAAAGAAUUGUGGAAGUGCAUGUUUUUGACAUACUCCACUGUUUCCUGCUAUUAUGAAAUUUGGUUCUUGGAGUUGAGUGAAGGAAGUGUUGGUGUGUGGAUCUUUUGUGUCUUUGUGUUGGUAAUACCUGUUGUUGUUGCACAAAAAUAUGUUAUUUUAGAUCAGGAAAAAUAUAAAUGUUUCUCAAAUAAUCAAUUAAACAUGUAUAUACUCACUACUAAUAUCACUGCUAAUACAGUCAACCUAAACUCAUAUACUUCAUAACUAACUCCAUUUCAAACAAAUUAUUUAAUACUCCGCAUUGCAAGCAAACUUCCUGAAUUAGUGAGGUAAAAUACUCUUAAUUAGACACCAAAAACGUAUAGAUCAUUUGACUUGACUCAGAUUAUAAUAACAACAAAAACUAUUACGACUAACUUAUUCUCUGGAAAAUCUUAUUACAAUAAUGUUAUUCAUAAAAGAGAUGUGCCUGAUCAACAGUAAUGAGUUAUGUUAAGAAAUAUUCGAUUGCCUAGAAAAGAGAGAGAGAAAUGGUAUAGACAGUAAAUAAAACAAUAAGAGUAAUAAUAGUACCUUAGAAUUCCCCAAUGGUGAAGAUAAGUUUCAAAGAGAGGGAUGGGAUUGUCUUCUUCAUCUACGACUUCAACAUCAAAACUUUUGAUAGCAAUAUGGCCUUCGGGAAAGUUGGUAUUAUAGAAGAAUCUCUCCACUACAUGGCCAGGUUUUAAAGUGAAGAAUGGAGUCAUAUAAGUCUUUGUUUUUAUGACUUGAUGAUCGUUUUUCUUGUUUAUUACAACCCCUUCCAAAUAUGGUAUCAUAAUUCCUAUGGAGAAGAGUAAUAGGAACCACCAUAAACAUUGGUGAUGCUUCAACAUUUCUGCUUUGUUUGAUUCUGCAAAAAAAAAAGUUUGAACCGUAAUACGGUUUAAAUAACCAAAGAAAAAAGAGGGCAAAUGUUUAGUGACAGAUUUUGAAUUAGAUCAGUAUUUGGAAUCACUAUAUAAUAUAAAUGGAAUGAUGAUAUAAUGAUAAUUGGGGGUAGGGAAUAAAGGAAGUGGGUGGAAAAGAGAG